UAAAUGGUUAUGAUGAGGACAUGGGUUCCAUGGACGGUUUUUAGAGAGGGGAGGGUUGGUGCAACUCCCUAACUCGAAAUGGUAACUUACCACCUCUGAACUGCAGCAGGGAACGAUGGUCUAAGUAUCUGCUGCCGGCAUAAAUGUCGUUAUGAACAAUCUUGAGCUGCAAAACGGGAAUGCUUUUCGUUUUGUAGGAACAAGGGUGGAACCACGAGUAACACUCGUCCCUUUU
RNAcentral lists this non-coding RNA (235 nucleotides) under Halalkalibacterium halodurans. RNAcentral's name for it is "Bacillus halodurans T-box sequence". It matches the Rfam family "T-box leader". From Rfam's summary of the family: Uncharged tRNA acts as the effector for transcription antitermination of genes in the T-box leader family. T-boxes are found upstream of many aminoacyl-tRNA synthetase genes and some amino acid biosynthetic genes usually in Gram-positive bacteria. The record is from RNAcentral. Lineage: Bacteria; Bacillati; Bacillota; Bacilli; Caryophanales; Bacillaceae.